AUUGAACGCUGGCGGCAGGCCUAACACAUGCAAGUCGAACGGUAACAGGAAACAGCUUGCUGUUUCGCUGACGAGUGGCGGACGGGUGGGUAAUGUCUGGGAAACUGCCUGAUGGAGGGGGAUAACUACUGGAAACGGUAGCUAAUACCGCAUAACGUCGCAAGACCAAAGAGGGGGACCCUCGGGCCUCUUGCCAUCGGAUGUGCCCAGAUGGGAUUAGCUUGUUGGUGGGGUAACGGCUCACCAAGGCGACGAUCCCUAGCUGGUCUGAGAGGAUGACCAGCCACACUGGAACUGAGACACGGUCCAGACUCCUACGGGAGGCAGCAGUGGGGAAUAUUGCACAAUGGGCGCAAGCCUGAUGCAGCCAUGCCGCGUGUAUGAAGAAGGCCUUCGGGUUGUAAAGUACUUUCAGCGGGGAGGAAGGGAGUAAAGUUAAUACCUUUGCUCAUUGACGUUACCCGCAGAAGAAGCACCGGCUAACUCCGU
This 489-nucleotide ribosomal RNA is filed under the name uncultured bacterium. RNAcentral's name for it is "partial 16S ribosomal RNA". It matches the Rfam family "Bacterial small subunit ribosomal RNA", at positions 30 to 506 of the family's 1533-position model. The record is from RNAcentral.